UACAUAAUUAUGUCUGUACCUAUAUAAGACUUACACACAUAUAUACAUAUCAGUGCAUGUGUGUAUAUAUAUGUGUGUGUGUUUGUGUGUAUAUUUAACAUGUACAUAGUGUGCAUCUAACAAUCUCCAUUUGUGGCAUUGUCUGGACGAUCUAGCUGCAACAGAGUUAGCUAAGAGGAACUACUAUGGGAAGUAUAAGCUAAUUAAUUUUGCUAAAAGUGAUUGCUAGAUUCUAGAAAUACCUUAACCUCUAAACUGUAUGGAGAAAACUUCAAACUGGAUGGCCAGCUUAUGAAGGAUACUUGAAACUAGAAAAAAAGGGG
RNAcentral lists this long non-coding RNA (323 nucleotides) under Elaeis guineensis (African oil palm). RNAcentral's name for it is "long non-coding RNA (EGUI_LNC046512)". Lineage: Eukaryota; Viridiplantae; Streptophyta; Magnoliopsida; Arecales; Arecaceae. The record is from RNAcentral.